RNAcentral lists this ribosomal RNA (373 nucleotides) under uncultured bacterium. Its description in RNAcentral is "bacterial SSU rRNA". It matches the Rfam family "Bacterial small subunit ribosomal RNA", at positions 521 to 896 of the family's 1533-position model. The record is from RNAcentral.
UAAUACGUAGGUGGCAAGCGUUGUCCGGAUUUACUGGGUGUAAAGGGUGCGCAGGCGGAUCUGUAAGUCAGAGGUGAAAUCUCACAGCUUAACUGUGAAACUGCCUUUGAUACUGCAGAUCUUGAGUUCGGGAGAGGUUGAUGGAAUUCCAGGUGUAGCGGUGAAAUGCGUAGAUAUCUGGAAGAACACCAGUGGCGAAGGCGGUCAACUGGCCCGUAACUGACGCUCAGGCACGAAAGCGUGGGUAGCAAACAGGAUUAGAUACCCUGGUAGUCCACGCCCUAAACGAUGAAUACUUGGUGUUGGUCUUAAUUGAUCAGUGCCGUAGGUAACCUGUUAAGUAUUCCACCUGGGGAGUACGCUCGCAAGAGUG